Molecule: non-coding RNA, 361 nt
Filed under: Nosema bombycis CQ1
Lineage: Eukaryota; Fungi; Microsporidia; Nosematidae
Description: Eukaryotic large subunit ribosomal RNA
Rfam family: Eukaryotic large subunit ribosomal RNA
Source: Rfam by way of RNAcentral
AAUUCUAAUUCAUUUUAGGAUAACCCUUUGAACUUAAGCAUAUCAGUAAAAGGAGGAAAAGAAACUAACAAGGAUUUCUUUAGUAGUGGCGAAUGAACAAGAAAGAACUCAUUAUGUAAUCUAUAUUUAUUAUAGAGAUGUUAAAAGUUAUUGUUGUCAUUCAAAUCAUAGAUACAUUAAAUUGUAGUAAAUGAUGACGAUAAAUAAAUAAUGUAGAGUACGAUUGCUUGGUAGUGCAAUUGGAAUAUAGAUAGAAUAAAAUAUCUAAAGUUAAAUAUAAAUGACAUACCGAUAGAGAAUAAGUACUGCGAAGGAACUUGUGAAAAUGCUAGUAUUAGCUUAUAUAAUUAUAAGGCCCGUC